GAUGAACGCUGGCGGCGUGCCUAAUACAUGCAAGUCGAGCGAACGGACGAGAAGCUUGCUUCUCUGAUGUUAGCGGCGGACGGGUGAGUAACACGUGGAUAACCUACCUAUAAGACUGGGAUAACUUCGGGAAACCGGAGCUACUACCGGAUAAUAUUUUGAACCGCAUGGUUCAAAAGUGAAAGACGGUCUUGCUGUCACUUAUAGAUGGAUCCGCGCUGCAUUAGCUAGUUGGUAAGGUAACGGCUUGCCAAGGCAACGAUGCAUAGCCGACCUGAGAGGGUGAUCGGCCACACUGGAACUGAGGCACGGUCCAGACUCCUACGGGAGGCAGCAGUAGGGAAUCUUCCGCAAUGGGCGAAAGCCUGACGGAGCAACGCCGCGUGAGUGAUGAAGGUCUUCGGAUCGUAAAACUCUGUUAUUAGGGAAGAACAUAUGUGUAAGUAACUGUGCACAUCUUGACGGUACCUAAUCAGAAAGCCACGGCUAACUACGUG
RNAcentral lists this ribosomal RNA (497 nucleotides) under uncultured bacterium. RNAcentral's name for it is "partial 16S ribosomal RNA". It matches the Rfam family "Bacterial small subunit ribosomal RNA", at positions 28 to 507 of the family's 1533-position model. The record is from RNAcentral.